AACCUGAAACCGUGUACGUACAAGCAGUGGGAGCACGCUUCGGCGUGUGACUGCGUACCUUUUGUAUAAUGGGUCAGCGACUUAUAUUCUGUAGCAAGGUUAACCGAAUAGGGGAGCCGAAGGGAAACCGAGUCUUAACUGGGCGUUAAGUUGCAGGGUAUAGACCCGAAACCCGGUGAUCUAGCCAUGGGCAGGUUGAAGGUUGGGUAACACUAACUGGAGGACCGAACCGACUAAUGUUGAAAAAUUAGCGGAUGACUUGUGGCUGGGGGUGAAAGGCCAAUCAAACCGGGAGAUAGCUGGUUCUCCCCGAAAGCUAUUUAGGUAGCGCCUCGUGAAUUCAUCUCCGGGGGUAGAGCACUGUUUCGGCAAGGGGGUCAUCCCGACUUACCAACCCGAUGCAAACUGCGAAUACCGGAGAAUGUUAUCACGGGAGACACACGGCGGGUGCUAACGUCCGUCGUGAAGAGGGAAACAACCCAGACCGCCAGCUAAGGUCCCAAAGUCAUGGUUAAGUGGGAAACGAUGUGGGAAGGCCCAGACAGCCAGGAUGUUGGCUUAGAAGCAGCCAUCAUUUAAAGAAAGCGUAAUAGCUCACUGGUCGAGUCGGCCUGCGCGGAAGAUGUAACGGGGCUAAACCAUGCACCGAAGCUGCGGCAGCGACACUAUGUGUUGUUGGGUAGGGGAGCGU
This 691-nucleotide ribosomal RNA is filed under the name Escherichia coli. Its description in RNAcentral is "partial 23S ribosomal RNA". It matches the Rfam family "Bacterial large subunit ribosomal RNA", at positions 547 to 1239 of the family's 2925-position model. The record is from RNAcentral. Lineage: Bacteria; Pseudomonadati; Pseudomonadota; Gammaproteobacteria; Enterobacterales; Enterobacteriaceae.